RNAcentral lists this ribosomal RNA (468 nucleotides) under uncultured bacterium. Its description in RNAcentral is "partial 16S ribosomal RNA". It matches the Rfam family "Bacterial small subunit ribosomal RNA", at positions 28 to 507 of the family's 1533-position model. The record is from RNAcentral.
GACGAACGCUGGCGGCGGGCUUAACACAUGCAAGUCGAACGGAAAGGCCCUGCUUUUGUGGGGUGCUCGAGUGGCGAAGGGGUGAGUAACACGUGAGUAACCUGCCCUUGACUUUGGGAUAACUUCAGGAAACUGAGGCUAAUCCAAGAUAGGAGCUCCUGCUGCAUGGUGGGCGUUGGAAAGUUUAGGCGGGUGGGAUUGGACUCGCGGCUUAUCAGCUUGUUUGUUGGGUAGUGGCUUACCAAGGCUUUGACGGAUCGCCGGCCUGAGAGGGUGAACAGGCACAUUGCUACUGAGAGACGCACCAGACUCCAAUGUUAGGCAGCAGGGGGGAAUAUUGUCCAAUGGGCCGACGUCUGAUGCAACAACGUCGCGUGUGUGAAGCCGGUCUUCUGGUUGUAAACCGCUUUCGCCUAUUACGAAGCUUUAGUGACGGUAAUGGGUAAAUAAGCACCGGCUAACUACGUG